This 253-nucleotide ribosomal RNA is filed under the name uncultured bacterium. Its description in RNAcentral is "partial 16S ribosomal RNA". It matches the Rfam family "Bacterial small subunit ribosomal RNA", at positions 524 to 776 of the family's 1533-position model. The record is from RNAcentral.
UACGUAGGGGGCAAGCGUUGUCCGGAUUCAUUGGGCGUAAAGAGCGUGUAGGCGGCCAGGUAGGUCGGUUGUGAAAACUGGAGGCUCAACCUUCAGAGGUCGACCGAAACCAUCUGGCUAGAGUCCGGGAGAGGAGAGUGGAAUUCCUGGUGUAGCGGUGAAAUGCGUAGAUAUCGGGAGGAACAUCUGUGGCGAAGGCGACACCCUGGACCAGCACUGACACUGAGGCACGAAAGCGUGGGGAGCAAACAGG